Molecule: ribosomal RNA, 247 nt
Filed under: uncultured bacterium
Lineage: Bacteria
Also listed under: 1 other name
Description: partial 16S ribosomal RNA
Rfam family: Bacterial small subunit ribosomal RNA
Source: RNAcentral
CACGCCCUAAACGAUGCGAACUGGAUGUUGGGCUCAACUUGGAGCUCAGUAUCGAAGCUAACGCGUUAAGUUCGCCGCCUGGGGAGUACGGUCGCAAGACUGAAACUCAAAGGAAUUGACGGGGGCCCGCACAAGCGGUGGAGUAUGUGGUUUAAUUCGAUGCAACGCGAAGAACCUUACCUGGUCUUGACAUCCACGGAACUUUCCAGAGAUGGAUUGGUGCCUUCGGGAACCGUGAGACAGGUGC